Molecule: ribosomal RNA, 940 nt
Filed under: uncultured bacterium
Lineage: Bacteria
Description: bacterial SSU rRNA
Rfam family: Bacterial small subunit ribosomal RNA
Source: RNAcentral
GAUGAACGCUGGCGGCGUGCCUAAUACAUGCAAGUCGAACGGGGUGUUUGAGCAAUCGGACACUUAGUGGCGAACGGGUGAGUAACGCGUUGGUGACCUGCCCCAAAGCGGGGGAUAACAGCCUGAAAGGGUUGCUAAUACCGCAUAUGAUGAUGAGAGACUAGAAACUUAUCAUUAAAGGAGAAAUCCACUUUGGGAGGGGCCUGCGUCCCAUCAGCUAGUUGGUAGGGUAAAAGCCUACCAAGGCGAAGACGGGUAGGGGACCUGAGAGGGUGACCCCCCACAAUGGAACUGAAACACGGUCCAUACACCUACGGGUGGCAGCAGUAGGGGAUAUUGCACAAUGGGCGGAAGCCUGAUGCAGCAACGCCGCGUGAGUGAUGAAGGCCCUCGGGUCGUAAAACUCUUUUCAAGAGGAAGAGGAAGGACGGUACUCUUGGAAUAAGCCUCGGCUAACUACGUGCCAGCAGCCGCGGUAACACGUAGGAGGCGAGCGUUAUUCGGAUUUACUGGGCGUAAAGCGCGUGUAGGCGGCUGAUCAAGUUGGAUGUGAAAGCUCCCGGCUUAACUGGGAGAGGACGUUCAAAACUGAACAGCUUGAGUAUGAGAGAGGAAAAUGGAAUUCCGGGUGUAGUGGUGAAAUGCGUUGAUAUCCGGAGGAACACCAGUGGCGAAGGCGAUUUUCUGGCUCAAGACUGACGCUCAGACGCGAAAGCUAGGGUAGCAAACGGGAUUAGAGACCCCGGUAGUCCUAGCUGUAAACGAUGUAGACUUGGCGUUGGGGGAGUAAAAUCCUUCAGUGCCGCAGCAAACGCGAUAAGUCUACCGCCUGGGGACUACGGCCGCAAGGUUAAAACUCAAAGGAAUUGACGGGGCCCCGCACAAGCAGCGGAGCGUGUGUUUUAUUUCGAUGCUACACGAAGAACCUUACCAGGGUUUG